Ribosomal RNA from Trametes versicolor FP-101664 SS1, 154 nucleotides. It matches the Rfam family "5.8S ribosomal RNA". Rfam says of the family: 5.8S ribosomal RNA (5.8S rRNA) is a component of the large subunit of the eukaryotic ribosome. It is transcribed by RNA polymerase I as part of the 45S precursor that also contains 18S and 28S rRNA. Lineage: Eukaryota; Fungi; Basidiomycota; Agaricomycetes; Polyporales; Polyporaceae. The record is from Rfam.
AACUUUUAGCAACGGAUCUCUUGGCUCUCGCAUCGAUGAAGAACGCAGCGAAAUGCGAUAAGUAAUGUGAAUUGCAGAAUUCAGUGAAUCAUCGAAUCUUUGAACGCACCUUGCGCUCCUUGGUAUUCCGAGGAGCAUGCCUGUUUGAGUGUCA